This 468-nucleotide ribosomal RNA is filed under the name uncultured bacterium. RNAcentral's name for it is "partial 16S ribosomal RNA". It matches the Rfam family "Bacterial small subunit ribosomal RNA", at positions 28 to 507 of the family's 1533-position model. The record is from RNAcentral.
GACGAACGCUGGCGGCGUGCUUAACACAUGCAAGUCGAACGGAAAGGCCCUGCUUUUGUGGGGUGCUCGAGUGGCGAACGGGUGAGUAACACGUGAGUAACCUGCCCUUGACUUUGGGAUAACUUCAGGAAACUGGGGCUAAUACCGGAUAGGAGCUCCUGCUGCAUGGUGGGGGUUGGAAAGUUUCGGCGGUGGGGGAUGGACUCGCGGCUUAUCAUCUUGUUGGUGGGGUAGUGGCUUACCAAGGCUUUGCCGGGUAGCCGGCCUGAGAGGGGGACCGGGCACAUUGGGACUGAGAUACGGCCCAGACUCCUACGGGAGGCAGCAGUGGGGAAUAUUGCACAAUGGGCGGAAGCCUGAUGCAGCAACGCCGCGUGCGGGAUGACGGCCUUCGGGUUGUAAACCGCUUUCGCCUGUGACGAAGCGUGAGUGACGGUAAUGGGUAAAGAAGCACCGGCUAACUACGUG